GAUCAACUAGAGUUAAAAGAAGCAUACAGAAAAAGAAUCUUACGGUUCACGCGAGAAAGAGAAGUGACAUCACCACGCAAACAACACAGAAAAAAAGCUCAUGAAAGAACAACAAAGCUGACCAGAUCUAAAGUACGCCGAUAAUACAAAAAGAAACCAAUAAAAGAAACGCAAAUCACACAUCUAACGCCACCUAUCACUCAGAAAGACCAAAAAGUAUGAGUAACGCUCCUCCAGCUACCAUGCGCACCCCCACCGGCACAUGUUAACGGAGAGUAACCGGCCACUGUUAAUAUGCGCCGAAGGUUGGGGCAAUUCGCAGCUAACCAGUGCAAGAACAGGCUUUGGUGAUUACCGAAAUCAACAAUUGGAGAAAUUUCUGUCAUGCUGCUUCCAUAAUCAAGAAAAAAAAGAAGCAAAAUGCAACUGAAAACAUCGCAAAAAAGGGAAAAAAAUUUCAGAAGUAC
This 467-nucleotide unclassified non-coding RNA is filed under the name Hevea brasiliensis (rubber tree). The record is from RNAcentral. Lineage: Eukaryota; Viridiplantae; Streptophyta; Magnoliopsida; Malpighiales; Euphorbiaceae.